This 91-nucleotide transfer RNA is filed under the name Erysipelotrichaceae bacterium. RNAcentral's name for it is "tRNA-Ser". It matches the Rfam family "tRNA". From Rfam's summary of the family: Transfer RNA (tRNA) molecules are approximately 80 nucleotides in length. Their secondary structure includes four short double-helical elements and three loops (D, anti-codon, and T loops). Further hydrogen bonds mediate the characteristic L-shaped molecular structure. tRNAs have two regions of fundamental functional importance: the anti-codon, which is responsible for specific mRNA codon recognition, and the 3' end, to which the tRNAs corresponding amino acid is attached (by aminoacyl-tRNA synthetases). tRNAs cope with the degeneracy of the genetic code in two manners: having more than one tRNA (with a specific anti-codon) for a particular amino acid; and 'wobble' base-pairing, i.e. permitting non-standard base-pairing at the 3rd anti-codon position. The record is from RNAcentral. Lineage: Bacteria; Bacillati; Bacillota; Erysipelotrichia; Erysipelotrichales; Erysipelotrichaceae.
GGAACAAUACCCAAGCGGCUCAAGGGGCGCCCCUGCUAAGGGUGUAGACUGGGAAACUGGUGCGAGGGUUCGAAUCCCUCUUGUUCCGCCA